CCACGGAGUGAUUCAUGACUGGGGUGAAGUCGUAACAAGGUAGCCCUAGGGGAACCUGGGGCUGGAUCACCUCCUUAUACGA
RNAcentral lists this ribosomal RNA (82 nucleotides) under Pseudoalteromonas sp. SR45-6. RNAcentral describes it as "partial 16S ribosomal RNA". It matches the Rfam family "Bacterial small subunit ribosomal RNA", at positions 1457 to 1533 of the family's 1533-position model. RNAcentral also lists the same sequence under 34 other names. The record is from RNAcentral. Lineage: Bacteria; Pseudomonadati; Pseudomonadota; Gammaproteobacteria; Alteromonadales; Pseudoalteromonadaceae.